This 4487-nucleotide long non-coding RNA is filed under the name Lathyrus oleraceus (garden pea). RNAcentral's name for it is "Pisum sativum (pea) long non-coding RNA (PSAT_LNC038804)". Lineage: Eukaryota; Viridiplantae; Streptophyta; Magnoliopsida; Fabales; Fabaceae. The record is from RNAcentral.
UGUUUUAUGACAAAAUUAUCCUUUAUGACAAAAUUACCUUUUAACUUCCUCUUUGUCUUUAUAAAUUUAUCAUUACAGAGAAAACUGUUUUUAUAUUUUUAGGGGGCAACUCACAAUACAUUACAAACAGACAGUAGGCUUUCAAUAAAAUUUUGGGCUUUGCUUUUAUAUUACUUUCUUCUCCAUAUAAAAGGACAAUUUCAUCUGGAAAUCAAAGUGAAGUAAAAUGUUAUUGUUAUUGUGUUGUAAACUUUUGAUAAGGAUACUUUCUAGAUAAUGACUAAAGAAUUGGUCAAGGAGUUGUCAAUUUCUAUCUUUUCUUUUUUCUUUUUAUAUUUCACUUAAUUUAAAUUUUUUCCCAACUGGGAUUUCAGAUAUUAUUUUCAAAUAUUUUAUUAUAGUGUAAAAAUCAUUUCAAUGAAAUCAAAUUGGAAAAGUCAAAAAUAGGUAGGCCUACUUAGAUUGAAAUGCAUACUCUUUAGUAUAGGCAAUUAUCCAUUAAUGCAUCUCUUAGCAUCAAUCAACUUUGAAUAAAAUUUAUUAAUAGCAUCAGAAAUUAAAUGAUAGCAUGUCUAUUAAUUUAAUCACAAAAAUAGAUUAUGCAAAUUUAAAUAAUAUUUGUCACUGUUACUAAAUUUUUUUAUCGAUGUUCUUAAUUCGUGGAAAGAAGAGAGUGAGAAGAGAGAGAAAGAGAGGAGAGAGAGAGAAGAGCGAGAUAAAUCAUAUCAACAAAGUUUUGACAAACAGUUUAUAUAAAUCAAAAAUAAACAAAUAUACAAUUUAUUUUACACGUGUGAUAUUGACAGUUACAAUUUUAUUUGCUCAACCGCUCAUCAUCCUUUUGGAAGUCAUGAUUUCAUUCUCUCAACUACUCAUCAUCCUCUCGGCGGCUCUCAAUGCUUUGAAAUUAAAAUAUAUUCUAUCUUCAUCCCACAAAAGAAAAAUUUAAACUUUACGAGCUUUCAUAUGAAGGUUCCUCCUUAUCCAUAUUCAAUUAUAACUUUUUUUCACCAUUCUCUUCCAUAAUAUAUUCAUUAAACUUAUUAAUGGGGAUAUUUGUGAGGUGAUAGAGAGUCGGUUGCAAAGGUAUGAUAUGCGAUCGAAGGGCGAGUCUUUGACAAGAAACAUAUAGGUUUUUGUAUGCCUGUCCCAUGGUGGAGAUGAACACCAACCCAAAAGCAUGGUGCAUGUACUACUGACUCAGAAAAUGUCAUUCAUGGUGACAGUGAGAUUUUCUUUUACAUAUUCUGUAGUCUCUUUUAUUUCAUUUGUAUUUUGAUUAUAUUUCUUCUUUUAAUAAUAAGAAUAUUUUUAACCAUGUAGUCUCUUUUAUUUCAUUUGUAUUUUGAUUAUAUUUCUUCUUUUAAUAAUAAGAAUAUUUUUAACCUCUGUUUUGAUAAUGGUUUUUCUAUUCCGGAGCUUGCAUAUGGGAGAUUAUUUCUUUAUAUUUUUACAAACUGUGUUAUUCAUAAUCAAAUUUAUCUUUGGUAUAUAGAUGUUGUUAAUAACAAAGAUUCUCUGAUUCCAAAAAUCAUAAAGGUUCGAUAUGGACCCAAAGAUGAAUUUGGAGAGUUUCUCACUUCCCAUUUUCUAAACAGCAUCUAACUUGAAUUGAAAUAUGUCAAAUUUUGUCUCUCUAUUCAACUUAAACACAAUAUUUUCUCUUGCAAUUACACAUAUUACAUUUUUUUCCAAAUCUAUAUUGACUUUUUUAUUCUUGACAGUAAAGAUUAACAUUUAGUUGUGAACAUAAUGCUAUAAAUAUGAAUAUUUCGUUUACCUGCCAUUGAAUCAAACUCUUUUAUUUGUUUGGUUUUUCUUUUCUGAUGGUAAAUACUAAAUAUAGAGUUUUUAAUGAGUUUGGUGAAAGUAUAUAUAUAUAGUUAUAGUUUAAGCAUUUUGGUGUAGCUUUAUGUUUGAUGGUGAUAUAAGUGUAUUUUAGGAACCACAAUACAAGUUACAACAGAGUGAGGUUUCAAUAAAAUUUUGGAGUUUGGUUUUAUAUUACUUUCCUUUCUCCAUAUAAAAGGACAAUUUUCUCAUUUGGAAAAUCAAAAGUGAAGUAACAACGUUAUUGUUGUUGUGUUGUAAACUUUUGAUAAGAGAAUACUUUCUAGAUAAUGACUAAAGAAUUGUAGGGUUGUCACUUUCUAUCUUUUCUUUUUUCUUUAUAAUAUUUCAACUUAAUUUAGAUUUUUUCCCCAACUUUGGUUGCAUUUUUCAUAUAUUUAUUUUUCAAUAUUUUCAAUUAUAGUGUAAAAAUCAUUUCAAUGAAAUCAAAUGGAAAAGUCAAAAAUAAUGUUAGGCCUACUNNNNNNNNNNNNNNNNNNNNNNNNNNNNNNNNNNNNNNNNNNNNNNNNNNNNNNNNNNNNNNNNNNNNNNNNNNNNNCGUCGAUGAUAGAUAGAACUACAUAAUCGAUUCUUAAUUCAGAGGUCACAGUUUGAGAGCGCCGAGAGAGAUGAGUCGUGAGAAAUGAAAUCUGACUUCCAAAGGAUGAUGAGUGGUUGAGCAAAUAAAAUUGUACUGUCAAAGAGAAUGAUGGUCGGUUUGAGAGAUAUGAAACAAGAAAUAUAUGUAGCGUUAAUUGAUCCCAAUGUACAUGAAAGGUUGGUUUAUAUAAUGUGAUGAGUACGCAAAUUAAAAAUAUAAAAAGUUUUCUCUUAAUGAUAAAGUUUAAAGCAGAGGAAUGUUAAAGUAUUAUUAGUCAUAAAGGAAUAUUUUUGUCAAAUAAUAACAGUUUCCUGUAUUAUAAAUUUAUAAAUCAACAGGAAGUUAAAGGAAGUUAAAGGGUAAUUUUUUCAUUUAAGGAACAUAUCGACAUUCAUUGUGUAAGCAUACACUAACCGGAACACAAACAAAUUCAUCCUUUCUUCCUUUAUUUUUCUGAUUUUUUAUUAUUCAUUUCAACCAAUUUAAUUUUCGCAAUUUUUUAUCAAUUUUCCAUUAUUGUUUUGGAUCAGGUGCUCCCUCACUUCUCUUAUAUGAAGAUGUUCCAUUUCACUUAUAAUCCGAAAUAAAUUUUGGUCGCUUUUUAAUAUCACACGUGUAAAAUAAAUUGUAUAUUUGUUUAUUUUUGAUUUAUAUAAACUGUUUGUCAAAACUUUGUUGAUAUGAUUUAUCUCGCUCUUCUCUCUCUCUCCUCUCUUUCUCUCUCUUCUCACUCUCUUCUUUCCACGAAUUAAGAACAUCGAUAAAAAAAUUUAGUAACAGUGACAAAUAUUAUUUAAAUUUGCAUAAUCUAUUUUUGUGAUUAAAUUAAUAGACAUGCUAUCAUUUAAUUUCUGAUGCUAUUAAUAAAUUUUAUUCAAAGUUGAUUGAUGCUAAGAGAUGCAUUAAUGGAUAAUUGCCUAUACUAAAGAGUAUGCAUUUCAAUCUAAGUAGGCCUACCUAUUUUUGACUUUUCCAAUUUGAUUUCAUUGAAAUGAUUUUUACACUAUAAUAAAAUAUUUGAAAAUAAUAUCUGAAAUCCCAGUUGGGAAAAAAUUUAAAUUAAGUGAAAUAUAAAAAGAAAAAAGAAAAGAUAGAAAUUGACAACUCCUUGACCAAUUCUUUAGUCAUUAUCUAGAAAGUAUCCUUAUCAAAAGUUUACAACACAAUAACAAUAACAUUUUACUUCACUUUGAUUUCCAGAUGAAAUUGUCCUUUUAUAUGGAGAAGAAAGUAAUAUAAAAGCAAAGCCCAAAAUUUUAUUGAAAGCCUACUGUCUGUUUGUAAUGUAUUGUGAGUUGCCCCCUAAGAGAGAGAGAGAGAGAGAGAGAGAGAGAGAGGAGAUAAAUCAUAUCACAACGUUUUUUACAAAAACAAUUUAUAUUAAAAUCAAAAUUAAACAAAAAAUACACGUUUAUAUUUUGACACGUGUGAAUAUUAAAAAAAGUGGACAAAAAAUUUAUUUGGAUUUAAAGUGAAAUGAAAACUCUUAUAUAAGGAGGAAGUGAGGGAGCACCUAGAUCCAAAACAAUAAUGGAAAAUUGGAGAAAAAAUAGGGAAAUUAAAAUUAGGGUUUGGAAAUGAGUAAUAAAAAAAAUUAAGAAAAAAAUAAAGGAAGAAAGAUGAAUUUUGUUUUGUUUGUUGUGUUAGUGUAUGAUUAACGAAUGAAUGUGAUAUGUAUCCUUAAAUGAAAAAAUUACUCUUUAACUUCCUUUAACUUCCUCUUUGGAUUUAUAAAUUUAUCAUUACAGAGAAAACUGUUUUAUGACAAAAUUACCUUUUAACUUCCUCUUUGUCUUUAUAAAUUUAUCAUUACAGAGAAAACUGUUUUUAUAUUUUAUUUUUCUACUCAUCACCACAUAAUAAAACCAACCUUCAUGUACAUUUGAGAUCAAUUAACCGCUACAUAAUUUCUUGGUUUCAUUCUCUCAACCGACCAUCAUUCUCUUGACAGUUACAAUUUUAUUUGCUCAACCGCUCAUCAUCCUUUUGGAAGUCAUGAUUUCAUUCUCUCAACUACUCAUCAUCCUCUCGGCGGCUCUCAAUGCUUUGAAAUUAA